CGGUUAUGGUGAUCAGGUUGGAAGGAGAUGAGAACCGAGCAUCAUCCUUCAAACAAAGGUCAGAUGAGCAGUUAUGACGAUGACAACGGAGUGAAGAUGACACUUCAGUCUGACAGAGGACAGACGUCCAGUCCUGGAAGCGAAAGAAGGGACCGGUGCAAUAAGAACGGAUCAUCUCCACACACAGACAUCUCCGUAUCACAGCCUGGACAGAGAUGCGAACAGCUUGUGUUUUGCACGUCCUGAUUAGAAAUCUGUGGUAAUUUCAGGGAAACGAAAAUGGUGAAAUAGCAAAUGACAAAUUACUGUGAAGCGUCAGAGGGUUUAAAAUGCUUCUGGCCAAACUGAGUACUGUAAAAUUACACAUUGAGGUUUAUGUGAAGUAUUUCGCAUUGACAUCAUUAAUGAACCAUUUUUACAUUUCACUUUUGUAUUUUCAUUUGCUCCAGCAGCAAAAGUAAUAAUGACUUUCCUAAUUAAAACAAACAAACAAAUAAGGAGAAACUGAUUACAGCAUUCAGAAGAGAAAGAUGUCAUAUUGACAUAAUUUUCUCAGCCGUUGCAUUAGAUAAGCUCAUAAAAGUGUGUAUAUUAUGGUGUACAUUGGAUUUUUAAAUUUUUUUAUUUAAAAAACGUGAGGUUUAUUGAUGUUUUGAUGUUUACAGUGUUACUGACCAUGAAAAACAAAUCAUCACAGUUUGUGAAAAGGACUUGUGAAAACAACAAUUGCACUGAAUUUUGUGUUGCUGCUGAUAAGUGUGUUAUUUCACCAAUAUACAUUUAUUAUAGAAUAGAUAGUUUUGUUAUUGUUACUUAAAAGAAAUGUGUUUCCAAUAAAUCACGUUUUCUUCA
This is a long non-coding RNA of Onychostoma macrolepis, 852 nucleotides long. RefSeq lists it as uncharacterized. The record is from RefSeq and is a predicted model, not a curated record. Lineage: Eukaryota; Metazoa; Chordata; Actinopteri; Cypriniformes; Cyprinidae. The transcript has 2 exons.